GAUCAUGGCUCAGGAUGAACACUGGCGGCGUGCUUAACACAUGCAAGUCGAACGAAGCACUCUAUUUGAUUUUCUUUCGGAAAUGAAGAUUUUGUGACUGAGUGGCGGACGGGUGAGUAACGCGUGGGUAACCUGCCUCAUACAGGGGGAUAACAGUUGGAAACGACUGCUAAUACCGCAUAAGCGCACAGGAUCGCAUGAUCCGGUGCGAAAAACUCCGGUGGUAUGGGAUGGACCCGCG
Molecule: ribosomal RNA, 241 nt
Filed under: uncultured bacterium
Lineage: Bacteria
Description: partial 16S ribosomal RNA
Rfam family: Bacterial small subunit ribosomal RNA
Source: RNAcentral